CAAUAGCGUAUAUUAAAGUUGUUGCGGUUAAAAAGCUCGUAGUUGGUUCUCGGCAGGCAGGGGGUGGUUCGCUCUUAGCGCUACUGCCCCAUUUGCCUGUGUGGUUGGCGGAGGUUUCGGGGUGCUCUUCGUUGAGUGACCCGGGGCGCCGUCAGGUUUACUUUGAAAAAAUUAGAGUGCUCAAAGCAGGCUUUUCACGCUUGAAUAUUCGUGCAUGGAAUAAUGGAAUAGGAACUCGUUUCUAUUUUGUUGGUUUUCGGAAAUCGAGUUAAUGAUUAAUAGGGACAAUUGGGGGCAUCAGUAUUCAGACGACAGAGGUGAAAUUCUUGGACCGUCUGAGGACUAACUACUGCGAAAGCAUUUGCCAAGAGUGUUUUCAUUAA
This 383-nucleotide ribosomal RNA is filed under the name uncultured eukaryote. Its description in RNAcentral is "partial 18S ribosomal RNA". It matches the Rfam family "Eukaryotic small subunit ribosomal RNA", at positions 592 to 976 of the family's 1831-position model. The record is from RNAcentral.